GACGAACGCUGGCGGCGUGCCUAACACAUGCAAAGUCGAACGGUCCGGCACUCAACCGACCCUCAGUCUAGCUGUAGGUGAAGUUGAGUGCCGGAUAGUGGCGGACGGGUGAGUAACGCGUGGGCAACCAACCCUGUACAGUGGGAUAACACCGGGAAACCGGUGCUAAUACCGGCAUGACACCUAGAUGGUGCAUACUGUUAGGUUAAAGGAUUUAACCGGUACAGGACGGGCCCGCGUCCCAUUAGCUGGUUGGUGAGGUAACGGCUCACCAAGGCGACGAUGGGUAGCCGACCUGAGAGGGUGACCGGCUACACUGGGACUGAGACACGGCCCAGACUCCUACGGGAGGCAGCAGUGGGGAAUAUUGCGCAAUGGACGGAAGUCUGACGCAGCGACGCCGCGUGAGCGACGAAGGCCUUCGGGUCGUAAAGCUCUGUUCUUGGGGACGAAGGAAAUGACGGUACCCAAGGAGAAAGCCCCGGCUAACUACGUG
This 496-nucleotide ribosomal RNA is filed under the name uncultured bacterium. RNAcentral describes it as "bacterial SSU rRNA". It matches the Rfam family "Bacterial small subunit ribosomal RNA", at positions 28 to 507 of the family's 1533-position model. The record is from RNAcentral.